GCGAGUGAACCGGGAAGAGCUCAAAUUUGAAAUCUGGCGUGCUCAGUGCGUCCGAGUUGUAAUCUAUAGAGUCGUUUUCCGUGCCGGACUGUGUCCAAGUCCCUUGGAACAGGGUAUCAAAGAGGGUGAUAAUCCCGUACUUGACACAAUGACCGGUGCUCUGUGAUACGUCUUCUACGAGUCGAGUUGUUUGGGAAUGCAGCUCAAAAUGGGUGGUGAGUUCCAUCUAAAGCUAAAUAUUGGCGAGAGACCGAUAGCGAACAAGUACCGUGAGGGAAAGAUGAAAAGCACUUUGGAAAGAGAGUUAAACAGUACGUGAAAUUGUUAAAAGGGAAACGAUUGAAGUCAGUCGUGACUGAGAGGCUCAGCCGGUUCUGCCGGUGUAUUCCCCUCAGUCGGGUCAACAUCAGUUUUGUUCGGUGGAUAAGGGCAGUUGGAAGGUGGCACCCUCGGGUGUGUUAUAGCCAGCUGUCGCAUACAUCGGAUGAGACUGAGGAAUGCAGCUCGCCUUUAUGGCCGGGGUUCGCCCACGUUCGAGCUUAGGAUGUUGACAUAAUGGCUUUAAACGACCC
RNAcentral lists this ribosomal RNA (572 nucleotides) under Papiliotrema flavescens. RNAcentral describes it as "eukaryotic LSU rRNA". It matches the Rfam family "Eukaryotic large subunit ribosomal RNA", at positions 89 to 650 of the family's 3401-position model. The record is from RNAcentral. Lineage: Eukaryota; Fungi; Basidiomycota; Tremellomycetes; Tremellales; Rhynchogastremaceae.